ACGGCGUUGUCGGUUGGGCGUGACUCCUUGCACCUCGUAGGUACGACCCUAUCUCGCAACCCCCAGAUUC
Molecule: small nucleolar RNA, 70 nt
Filed under: Leishmania donovani
Lineage: Eukaryota; Euglenozoa; Kinetoplastea; Trypanosomatida; Trypanosomatidae
Description: H/ACA box snoRNA LD33Cs2H1
Rfam family: Trypanosomatid snoRNA TB10Cs2H1
Source: RNAcentral